CAGCUGCGAGACUUGGUGUGAAUUGCAGGACACAUUGAGCACUGACUUUUCGAACGCACAUUGCGGCCUCGGGUCCUACCCGGGGCCACGUCUGUCUGAGGGUCGGAUAUGCGCAUGCAGAAGGAGGUCUCCUCCUACGUGGUCGCACCGGAGACUCUCGUCUUCGCCGACCUAAGGCCUGCGUGCUCCACCGGUCCAGAAGCGUCCCGCAUAGGAUGCUCGCUCGUGGGGUUGGCGGACUCGAGCCAUCACUGAAGCGAGACGGCGGUCGAAGACGCGGAACCGGAGGACCGUUCUUGUCAAACUUUGUCGACCUCAGAUCAGGCGAGACGACCCGCUGAAUUUAA
This 347-nucleotide unclassified non-coding RNA is filed under the name uncultured fungus. RNAcentral describes it as "sequence contains ITS1". The stretch from base 1 to 105 matches the Rfam family "5.8S ribosomal RNA", at positions 50 to 154 of the family's 154-position model. The record is from RNAcentral. Lineage: Eukaryota; Fungi.